RNAcentral lists this ribosomal RNA (439 nucleotides) under uncultured bacterium. RNAcentral's name for it is "bacterial SSU rRNA". It matches the Rfam family "Bacterial small subunit ribosomal RNA", at positions 355 to 786 of the family's 1533-position model. The record is from RNAcentral.
UGGGGAAUAUUGGACAAUGGGCGCAAGCCUGAUCCAGCCAUGCCGCGUGGGUGAAGAAGGCCUUCGGGUUGUAAAGCCCUUUUGUCCGGGAAGAAAUCGUCUGGGCUAAUACCCCGGGCGGAUGACGGUACCGGAAGAAUAAGCACCGGCUAACUUCGUGCCAGCAGCCGCGGUAAUACGAAGGGUGCAAGCGUUACUCGGAAUUACUGGGCGUAAAGCGUGUGUAGGCGGUUCGUUAAGUCCGAUGUGAAAGCCCUGGGCUCAACCUGGGAACUGCAUUGGAAACUGGCGGGCUGGAGUGCGGUAGAGGGUGGCGGAAUUCCCGGUGUAGCAGUGAAAUGCGUAGAUAUCGGGAGGAACAUCCGUGGCGAAGGCGGCCACCUGGACCAGCACUGACGCUGAGGCACGAAAGCGUGGGGAGCAAACAGGAUUAGAUACC